RNAcentral lists this ribosomal RNA (1120 nucleotides) under Acinetobacter calcoaceticus. Its description in RNAcentral is "bacterial SSU rRNA". It matches the Rfam family "Bacterial small subunit ribosomal RNA", at positions 334 to 1447 of the family's 1533-position model. Lineage: Bacteria; Pseudomonadati; Pseudomonadota; Gammaproteobacteria; Moraxellales; Moraxellaceae. The record is from RNAcentral.
GACUCCUAGGGGAGGCAGCAGUGGGGAAUAUUGGACAAUGGGGGGAACCCUGAUCCAGCCAUGCCGCGUGUGUGAAGAAGGCCUUAUGGUUGUAAAGCACUUUAAGCGAGGAGGAGGCUUACCUGGUUAAUACCUGGAUAAGUGGACGUUACUCGCAGAAUAAGCACCGGCUAACUCUGUGCCAGCAGCCGCGGUAAUACAGAGGGUGCAAGCGUUAAUCGGAUUUACUGGGCGUAAAGCGCGCGUAGGUGGCUAAUUAAGUCAAAUGUGAAAUCCCCGAGCUUAACUUGGGAAUUGCAUUCGAUACUGGUUAGCUAGAGUAUGGGAGAGGAUGGUAGAAUUCCAGGUGUAGCGGUGAAAUGCGUAGAGAUCUGGAGGAAUACCGAUGGCGAAGGCAGCCAUCUGGCCUAAUACUGACACUGAGGUGCGAAAGCAUGGGGAGCAAACAGGAUUAGAUACCCUGGUAGUCCAUGCCGUAAACGAUGUCUACUAGCCGUUGGGGCCCUUGAGGCUUUAGUGGCGCAGCUAACGCGAUAAGUAGACCGCCUGGGGAGUACGGUCGCAAGACUAAAACUCAAAUGAAUUGACGGGGGCCCGCACAAGCGGUGGAGCAUGUGGUUUAAUUCGAUGCAACGCGAAGAACCUUACCUGGCCUUGACAUACAGAGAACUUUCCAGAGAUGGAUUGGUGCCUUCGGGAACUCUGAUACAGGUGCUGCAUGGCUGUCGUCAGCUCGUGUCGUGAGAUGUUGGGUUAAGUCCCGCAACGAGCGCAACCCUUUUCCUUAUUUGCCAGCACUUCGGGUGGGAACUUUAAGGAUACUGCCAGUGACAAACUGGAGGAAGGCGGGGACGACGUCAAGUCAUCAUGGCCCUUACGGCCAGGGCUACACACGUGCUACAAUGGUCGGUACAAAGGGUUGCUACUGCGCGAGCAGAUGCUAAUCUCAAAAAGCCGAUCGUAGUCCGGAUCGCAGUCUGCAACUCGACUGCGUGAAGUCGGAAUCGCUAGUAAUCGCGGAUCAGAAUGCCGCGGUGAAUACGUUCCCGGGCCUUGUACACACCGCCCGUCACACCAUGGGAGUUUGUUGCACCAGAAGUAGGUAGUCUAACCUUAGGGA